This is a long non-coding RNA of Alexandromys fortis (reed vole), 270 nucleotides long. RefSeq lists it as uncharacterized. The record is from RefSeq and is a predicted model, not a curated record. The transcript is spliced from 2 exons. Lineage: Eukaryota; Metazoa; Chordata; Mammalia; Rodentia; Cricetidae.
UGUGGGAGUGAUUUCUUAUUAAUAAAGAAACUGCCUUGGCCCAUUUUAUUGGAUAGAAAAUUAGGUAGGCGGAGUAGACAGAGGAGAAUGCUGGGAAAAAGAAGCUGUGUGAGGAGUCGCCAUGAUGCUCCCACUCCAGACAGACGCAGGUUAAGAUCCUCUCUGGUAAGCCAGCUCGUGGGCUACACAGAAUAUUAGAAAUGGGUUAGAACAAUAUGUAAGAGCCAAUAAGAAACUGGACCUAGCCUGGCCAGGCAGUGUUUGAAAGAA